This 347-nucleotide transfer-messenger RNA is filed under the name pig gut metagenome. It matches the Rfam family "transfer-messenger RNA". From Rfam's summary of the family: Bacterial tmRNA, also known as 10Sa RNA or SsrA, is named for its dual tRNA and mRNA-like properties. The record is from RNAcentral.
GGGGCCGUAAAGGUUUCGACAGGGGCAGAUGGGGCAUGAUAAGCGAGCCCGGGGGUCAUCAACCGGUUAGUAAGGUGAAAAUUAAAUUUAAGAGCUAACGAAGAUUACGCUCUGGCCGCUUAAGGCCACCUCUGCUGCAAAUUCUUCCCGCUAACGCGCAGCAAUAGAGGUCAAAUAGUGGGAUACCAUCCGGAGAUGUUCCGAUAAGGGUGGGAAAUCUUAGGGACUCGGCCUGAUUGAGCUUGUCUUUGGACUCAUGAUGGCUUAAAAACGACCAUAGACUGCGCUCGGAGAAAGUUAUGAAACAGUGCUUUUGGACAGGGGUCCGAUUCCCCUCGGCUCCACCA